RNAcentral lists this ribosomal RNA (1119 nucleotides) under Triticum aestivum (bread wheat). Its description in RNAcentral is "partial small subunit ribosomal RNA". Lineage: Eukaryota; Viridiplantae; Streptophyta; Magnoliopsida; Poales; Poaceae. The record is from RNAcentral.
AUGCAUCCGAGUGGCGGCGCGCUGUCGGUGCCACCGGGCUUCCGGUUCCAUCCGACGGACGAGGAGCUCCUCUACUACUACCUGAGGAAGAAGGUCGCUUAUGAGGCCAUAGAUCUUGACGUCAUCAGGGAGAUCGACCUCAACAAGCUCGAGCCAUGGGACCUCAAAGAUCGGUGCAGGAUAGGCACAGGGCCGCAGAACGAGUGGUACUUCUUCAGCCACAAGGACAAGAAGUACCCGACGGGGACGAGGACGAACCGGGCCACCACGGCGGGGUUCUGGAAGGCGACGGGCCGCGACAAGGCCAUCUUCCUCGGCAGCGGCGCCAGGAGGAUCGGCAUGAGGAAGACGCUGGUGUUCUACGUCGGGAGGGCUCCCCACGGCAAGAAGACCGACUGGAUCAUGCACGAGUACCGCCUAGACGAAGACAACGUUGAGGUCCAGGAAGAUGGCUGGGUGGUGUGUAGGGUUUUCACCAAGAAGAGCUACACGAGAGGCAUGAACCCGGCGGGGAUGGCGGGGUACGACGACGACGAGCUCCUCCACCCUUUCCCGGUUCCAUCUUCCGCCGCCGGCGCAAUGCAAAUGAUCACGGACCAGAAGCACAUCAUGCACAGCCCCGGCCACCUCAUGCAGCAGCAGCAGCAGCAGCACUACGACUUCCCUUCCUUCGACGCGUCCAUGCAGCUCCCGCAGCUCAUGAGCGCCGAGCACGAGCAGCAGACGCUCUCCUCCUUCCUCCCCGGCGCACCGGCUGCCGUUGCCAUGAGCUCGCACGAGCUCGAGUGCUCACAGAACCUGAUGAAGCUCACUUCGAGCGGCACCAACGGAAUGCUCCACCACGGUGGCAGUGGCGGUGGCGGUGGCGGCGACCCCCGCUUCCCCGGCACGGACUGGUCCAUCCUGGACAAGCUCCUCGCCUCGCACCAGAACCUGGACCAGCUCUUCCAGGGCAAGGUUGCCGCCGCCGCAGCAGCAGCAUCAAUGGCGCCUUAUCAACAGCAGCAUCAGCAGCAGCUCAUGGAGCAGCUUGGAGGCGGCAGCACCUCCUCCAUGCAGAGAAUGCCACUGCAGUACCUCGGCUGUGAGGCCGCCGACCUCCUCAGGUUCUCCAAGUAG